UACGUAGGGUCCAAGCGUUGUCCGGAAUUAUUGGGCGUAAAGAGCUCGUAGGCGGUCUGUCGCGUCUGCUGUGAAAACUCAGGGCUUAACCCUGAGCUUGCAGUGGGUACGGGCAGACUAGAGUGCGGUAGGGGAGACUGGAAUUCCUGGUGUAGCGGUGAAAUGCGCAGAUAUCAGGAGGAACACCGGUGGCGAAGGCGGGUCUCUGGGCCGUAACUGACGCUGAGGAGCGAAAGCGUGGGGAGCGAACAGG
Molecule: ribosomal RNA, 253 nt
Filed under: uncultured bacterium
Lineage: Bacteria
Description: partial 16S ribosomal RNA
Rfam family: Bacterial small subunit ribosomal RNA
Source: RNAcentral